Molecule: ribosomal RNA, 445 nt
Filed under: uncultured bacterium
Lineage: Bacteria
Description: partial 16S ribosomal RNA
Rfam family: Bacterial small subunit ribosomal RNA
Source: RNAcentral
GUAAGGAAUAUUGGACAAUGGACGCAAGUCUGAUCCAGCCAUGCCGCGUGAAGGAUUAAGGUCCUCUGGAUUGUAAACUUCUUUUAUAAGGGACGAAAAAAGGCUUUUCUAAGUCGUCUGACGGUACCUUAUGAAUAAGCACCGGCUCACUCCGUGCCAGCAGCCGCGGUAAUACGGAGGGUGCAAGCGUUAUCCGGAUUCACUGGGUUUAAAGGGUGCGUAGGCGGGCAGGUAAGUCAGUGGUGAAAUCCUAGAGCUUAACUCUAGAACGGCCAUUGAUACUAUCUGUCUUGAAUAUUGGGGAGGUAAGCGGAAUAUGUCAUGUAGCGGUGAAAUGCUUAGAUAUGACAUAGAACACCUAUUGCGAAGGCAGCUUACUACGCAUAUAUUGACGCUGAGGCACGAAAGCGUGGGGAUCAAACAGGAUUAGAAACCCGAGUAGUCC